Meriones unguiculatus (Mongolian gerbil) is the source of this 2267-nucleotide long non-coding RNA. RefSeq lists it as uncharacterized. The transcript has 2 exons. The record is from RefSeq and is a predicted model, not a curated record. Lineage: Eukaryota; Metazoa; Chordata; Mammalia; Rodentia; Muridae.
UGUCAUGAAAACGGGUGCGGGUUCGUCCACUGGGAGGAUAAUGCAUCUGGGUGGAGCCUGGAGAGCAGCGGAAUACAACGGCGCUGUGCUUAGCUGGACACUUUUACAGGACAUGAUCCAACCGAGUGUGCGGUGUGUGUGUGUGUGUGUGUGUGUGUGUGUGUGUGUGUGUGUGUACUGGGGCCAAGUCAUUAUUCAGUCUGUCCACUUUCCUCUUUGAUGCCAUGCCACUUCACAAAAGCAGUUGGGCCACAGUCAUCUAUUUUUUUUUCCUUUUCUUUUCCUCCUUGUUAUCAUGAUACAAUCUUCCUUUUUCAAUCUUAUCAUUUUCAUCAGUUCUUGGAAAAGGCAAUGAGCAUAACAAUACAUGUUUGGUAAAAACAGUUCUUUGUGGCUAUAUUUAAUUAUUUGGUUUUUAAAAAAGAAGAAAAAAAAAGAAAACAACAACAACCAAAAACAAACAAGCACCUCCCUCCCCCUGGGGGGAAAAAAAACAACCUUGCCUCUGCUUGAUACCAUAGACAAGAGUCCAAAGGACAUUAGCUGCUCCGUUGCACACAUUGGAGGGAGGGCUUGCUGCGGGCUCUGUCUCCCUAAUAGACUGGCGAUUUUGUAAAAGGUUUUGGAAGGUUUUGUUUAACCAUUUCUGCAUGUGUUUUUAAUGAGCUCAUGAUGAUUCGUAACAAAGGCCAGGUUGUGGGGUUUGCAGCCUUUUCUGGGACCUGAUCCCUUCCUGCUGACCUGCAGAGUAGGCACCUGUGCUCCUUGCCUGGCUCACCUAUGGGAGUCAAGGUGGUGGGGCCAUCUCCGGGCCUGUCUUUCUGCCAGGGAUGAAUCAUGCAGUAGGCAGAGCGGAAGAACUCCCUUUGUUGACAGCUUUCCAUCUGGACUUUGGAUACGGCCGGCCGUUCAUGGUGAGCCCGGGUUAGCUGGAAAGGACUGCUCCAGUCAGCUCCUCCACGAAGGCCGGGGGCAAUGUAAAACACCAGCAAAGGAACGGCCCAGCAUUUCGGCUGCAAAGCAGAGAGGCACCAGGUCCAGGCACCCAGCCUUCCAACUUGAGUCCAGCCCAAAGCCUGCACUCUAAUACAUAUCAUACUUGAUAUUAAAGUGAGAAGAGGGGUAAUUUAUAGGAGCUGCAUGAGAACUGUUUUCUUCUCUGGGCCAGCCUGUAUGGAAUCGCCACCUCUAUUCACCAUCCACAGUGGGACGAGAGGGAGAGAGGAAGCCUUUCCAUUCUUCCAGCAACAGCUCUGAAAAACCACCCGUCCUGGCCAUGCCCGCUGUUCAAAAGAAGGUGGAACAGAGAGCAGGGUGGCUAUCUCUUUGUGUGUGUGAAUCUUGGAGGAAGGAGGGUAGGACGCGCGAUAAUGGGCCUUCGCGCUGAAUUCCCAUCCCAACCUCUCACCUGGGGAGCUGGCAUUGGUCUGCUGCACAUCUUGAGCUGAAACAAAAUUGUCUUAUGUGUACAGCGUCUUUUCCAAAGAGGGAGAGAUGCCCCUGAAAUCCCACUUCUUGACAUUGAGCGGAGGUGCCAUCUCUAAUGAUUAGCGAGACACUGUGGGCUGUUUGUGCCGAUCUCCACCUGCGCUGUGAAAUCCCCAUGAUUUUUCUCACAUUCCCACUCAAGCUGCCGAGCAACUGGGCCCUCUCUCUUCUACGCGUGGCUGUGUCAGUGGGACUUCGGUGCGCCAUCCACCGGGUUGUUUUCUCACGCCUCGCCACGACUAAUGAUGGGGUGUGGGAGGAGGCUGGCAGGUCACCGGAGGGCAGGGUCCCUCCACCCACCACGCACCCCCUUCAGUGGGCUGCCUUUCCUUCCGUUCGGGGUGAAAUCCUCCGCUCUGCCUUCUUAGGUACCCUUUGAAUGUAUCCCCCGGGGCUUCUGGAAGCCUCCCGCAUCUCUGCUGUCGCGUGGUAGGACUGCGGCAGUGUGAGGCUUGCAUGUGCAAAGGGGGUGUGAGGACAGCUGGACUGCAUCCCUGAAAGCUGAGCUCCCGAGGCAUGCCUUUCACAGCCCAGCAGCACCAGCCCCCAGGGUCCUGCAACUUUCUCUAGACAUCCGGAGCUCUGCCCCGGGCAGGACUGACCAGGAACUGGAGAAAGAGGGCUUGGGAGCUCUCUGGAAAGGGUCUUGCUUUUAAACACUGGAAACCUGGAGGGAGGAAGGUGACGACGAGAAAUCUGCCCUCUUGUUCUCUGUUAAGUCGUGUUGCCUUGAACGAGAGACCUGCUCGUUUCAUCUUUAAAAUAAACCUUUUGAGCCA